GUGGUUUAAUUCGAUGAUACGCGAGGAACUUACCCGGGCUUGAAUGCAUCUGACGUAGGCAGAGACGUCUAUUCCCUUCGGGGCAGAUGUGUAGGUGCUGCAUGGUUGUCGUCAGCUCGUGCCGUGAGGUGUCGGCUUAAGUGCCAUAACGAGCGCAACCCUCAUCAUUAGUUACCAACAGGUCAAGCUGGGGACUCUAGUGAGACUGCCAUCGUAAGAUGUGAGGAAAGGUGGGGAUGACGUCAAAUCAGCACGGCCCUUACGUCCGGGGCGACACACGUGCUACAAUGGGUGGUACAAAGAGCAGCGACCUCGCGAGUGGAAGCAAAUCUCAAAAAGCCAUCCUAAGUUCGGAUUGGAGUCUGCAACUCGACUCCAUGAAGUCGGAAUCGCUAGUAAUCGCGGAUCAGCCAUGCCGCGGUGAAUACGUUCCCGGGCCUU
This 441-nucleotide ribosomal RNA is filed under the name uncultured Proteiniphilum sp. Its description in RNAcentral is "bacterial SSU rRNA". It matches the Rfam family "Bacterial small subunit ribosomal RNA", at positions 941 to 1382 of the family's 1533-position model. Lineage: Bacteria; Pseudomonadati; Bacteroidota; Bacteroidia; Bacteroidales; Dysgonomonadaceae. The record is from RNAcentral.